Molecule: ribosomal RNA, 824 nt
Filed under: Rhodococcus sp. 14-2483-1-2
Lineage: Bacteria; Bacillati; Actinomycetota; Actinomycetes; Mycobacteriales; Nocardiaceae
Description: bacterial LSU rRNA
Rfam family: Bacterial large subunit ribosomal RNA
Source: RNAcentral
UUUGGUUAAGUUAGAAAGGGCGCACGGUGGAUGCCUUGACACUAGGAGUCGAUGAAGGACGGGACUAACGCCGAUAUGCUUCGGGGAGCUGUAAGUAAGCUUUGAUCCGAAGAUUUCCGAAUGGGGAAACCCACCAUACGUAAUGGUAUGGUAUCCUUAUCUGAAUACAUAGGGUAAGGAAGACAGACCCAGGGAACUGAAACAUCUAAGUACCUGGAGGAAGAGAAAGCAAAUGCGAUUUCCUGAGUAGCGGCGAGCGAAACGGAACAUAGCCCAAACCAAGAGGCUUGCCUCUUGGGGUUGUAGGACAUUCUAUACGGAGUUACAAAGGAACGAGGUAGACGAAGCGACCUGGAAAGGUCCGUCGUAGAGGGUAACAACCCCGUAGUCGAAACUUCGUUCUCUCUUGAAUGUAUCCUGAGUACGGCGGAACACGUGAAAUUCCGUCGGAAUCUGGGAGGACCAUCUCCCAAGGCUAAAUACUCCCUAGUGAUCGAUAGUGAACCAGUACCGUGAGGGAAAGGUGAAAAGCACCCCGGAAGGGGAGUGAAAGAGAUCCUGAAACCGUGUGCCUACAAAUAGUCAGAGCCCGUUAACGGGUGAUGGCGUGCCUUUUGUAGAAUGAACCGGCGAGUUACGAUCCCGUGCGAGGUUAAGCUGAAGAGGCGGAGCCGCAGCGAAAGCGAGUCUGAAUAGGGCGUUUAGUACGUGGUCGUAGACCCGAAACCAGGUGAUCUACCCAUGUCCAGGGUGAAGUUCAGGUAACACUGAAUGGAGGCCCGAACCCACGCACGUUGAAAAGUGCGGGGAUGAGGUGUGGGUAG